This 48-nucleotide non-coding RNA is filed under the name Schistosoma mansoni. Lineage: Eukaryota; Metazoa; Platyhelminthes; Trematoda; Strigeidida; Schistosomatidae. The record is from RNAcentral.
AUCCAACUGACGAGUCCCAAAUAGGGAUGAAACUGCGCGUCCCUGGAU